UAUCAGCACGGUUUUCAGGCGCUGGUA
This 27-nucleotide small RNA is filed under the name Bombyx mori (domestic silkworm). Its description in RNAcentral is "ovarian small RNA-23516". The record is from RNAcentral. Lineage: Eukaryota; Metazoa; Arthropoda; Insecta; Lepidoptera; Bombycidae.